GAGCCACCGUUGCCCAGGCGACACCUUGGUUACUUCCGCUGGUAUCAAUGCUUCCGGGUUGGCGGUGCUGUGGCGUUUCCGGCUGUGGGAGCCUCGGCUUUCCAGUCAUCUGAGGAGCCCGAACAGCCGAGUCCCUUCCCUGUCUUUCACUCUUCUGGCAACGGUGGUUUUACUUCUUCGAUUGAGCCCUGCUUCCUCGACCCCCCGGGAGGCUGCCUCCUUCAGGCACCUCUCUUCUCUCCAAGGACUCGCUGUGACAGCUGAGGAACUGGCAAGAUCCUGCUACCCAGAGGGUGAAUGGGUAUCUUUCCUGGAAUAAUCCUUAUUUUUCUAAGGGUGAAGUUUGCGACGGCGGCCGUGAUUGUAAGCGGAUACCAGAAAAGUGCCACUGUAAGCCAUGAGAUGUCUGGUCUGAAUUGGAAACCCUUUGUAUAUGGCGGCCUUGCCUCUAUUGUUGCUGAGUUUGGAACUUUCCCCGUAGACCUCACCAAAACACGACUUCAAGUACAAGGCCAAAGCAUUGAUGUUCGCUUUAAAGAGAUAAAAUAUAGAGGAAUGUUCCAUGCCUUGUUCCGAAUCUAUAAAGAAGAAGGUGUGUUGGCUCUAUAUUCAGGUAUUGCUCCUGCUUUGCUAAGACAGGCAUCGUAUGGCACCAUUAAAAUUGGAAUUUACCAAAGCUUGAAACGAUUAUUUGUAGAACGUUUAGAAGAUGAAACUCUUCUAAUUAAUAUGAUCUGUGGGGUAGUGUCAGGAGUGAUAUCUUCCACUAUAGCCAACCCCACUGAUGUUCUAAAGAUCCGAAUGCAAGCUCAAGGAAGCUUGUUCCAAGGGAGCAUGAUUGGAAGCUUCAUUGAUAUAUACCAACAAGAGGGUACCCGGGGUCUGUGGAGGGGUGUGGUCCCAACUGCUCAGCGUGCUGCUAUUGUUGUAGGAGUAGAGCUACCAGUCUAUGAUAUUACCAAGAAGCACCUAAUACUGUCAGGAAUGAUGGGUGACACAAUUUUGACUCAUUUUGUUUCCAGCUUUACAUGUGGCUUGGCUGGGGCUCUGGCGUCUAAUCCAGUUGAUGUGGUACGAACUCGCAUGAUGAACCAGAGGGCAAUUGUAGGACAUGUGGACCUCUACAAGGGUACUUUGGAUGGCAUUUUGAAGAUCACUCUGGCUUUCUGAAGAUGAGUUCUACGACAGUAAUUCUCAAACUUGGAUGCAUAUUGGAAUCAGUUGAUGUGGAAGCAUGAGGGCUUUUUUGCACUCUAUAGAGGAUUUUGGCCAAACUGGCUUCGACUUGGACCGUGGAACAUCAUUUUUUUUAUUACAUAUGAGCAGCUCAAGAGGCUCCAGAUCUAAGAACUGGAUAUAUGAGAGCCCAGUUCCAUCAGCCUUUCUACUCUUUCUCUUUAUUCUUCUUUAAAAGUUCUAAUGUAUUUUGACAAAGUUGUGUUUACCAAAGCAGUGGUCUCCCAAGUCCUCCUGAUAGAAGAACAGUAAGGUGACUCAGUGUUGCUCAUGCAUUUGUGUUAUCAUGUUAACUUUUCCCUGAGAGGAAGUGUUAACAUUGAAACUCUAGUGCCAGAUUGGUAUCUUCCAUGAAGAUGGAUACUGAUGGGUAACAUUCAGAAUGGCCUUCUUUCUAAAUGUGGGCGAAAUGUAGUUGGUUGGCCCUAGAUCUGGGUAAAAGGAAAAGACCUAGGCUUCUGGACAAUUAUUGGAAUGUGUGUUAUAGACCUUGGUUCUCAUUAAAGUAUUUAUUGUCAGAA
Cavia porcellus (domestic guinea pig) is the source of this 1757-nucleotide RNA transcript. It is a transcript of the gene named solute carrier family 25 member 14, with no coding region annotated. The transcript has 12 exons. NCBI's taxonomy places the organism in Eukaryota, Metazoa, Chordata, Mammalia, Rodentia, Caviidae. The record is from RefSeq and is a predicted model, not a curated record.